Molecule: long non-coding RNA, 3470 nt
Organism: Acinonyx jubatus (cheetah)
Lineage: Eukaryota; Metazoa; Chordata; Mammalia; Carnivora; Felidae
Exons: 2
Source: RefSeq, a predicted model, not a curated record
UGGUGACGUGUGGUGGCGACCGCUGCUGCUGCACAAGGACACUUCCUGGGCUCCAGGCUGAGAGUCUUUGUGGGGGAGGAGCUGGUGGCCGUCACUUUUGACAAGACCCACGCCAGCACGUGAGAACCACCCUCCCGUCAGCCGGCGCCGCUGAGGAGGGUGCGGUGCGGCACCUGCACCCCACACGGGACGAGUGUGCAGGGAGCUCUCUGGGGACGGGAAGUUACGGUCAGCUCUUCAUGCUUUCGGACACCCUUCCAUGCGCUACUUUCUACGCUAAAUGAACAGCCUGGCGGACUGUCAAAUAUGGGAAAAACAAAGCACCUCAGGACUCCUCAGGAAAGGCCUCUCUCCAACAGUAUGCAGCUCAGAUAAAGCCCAGAAAGUUCUGGGGACUGUUCACAUCACUGGUACCAUACAGGGAUCAUUCUGUCAAUAUCUACAAACAGGAGAGCCUCUGCAUUACAUGGCCAAAGUUGUUGCAACCGUUUUCAAAACAGAAUAAUCACACGGCUGAAGCUGAUUCAAAUGUGUGAGAUGCCCACUGAAGACGCUCUUAAACACAUGACAGACCAAGGGGCUGCCUUCCUUUCUGGGGAGAAAUAACAGAAAAUCUUAAACGUCUUCUUGAGUAAGGGAUUCUUACCACCAGCACAAACACUUGCUGGGUCAGAGCAAGUUGGGUAAGGCCAGGCGGAUGGCCUAGGGAAAACAGGAAUCAAGUAAUUCAGCUACACUCUGGGCCUGAUGGUGGUUCUGGCUGGAAAAAGGUACGAGCAACCUUAGACCAGGUCAAGGCCCAUCCACAGUUAAUUACAGACAAUAGUGCCCAAGUGCCAUCACAUGAACGAACCCUCAAGACUGAUCUCAGAGACCCAGCUUUUCAGAUGCAGCACAUGUUCCAGCAGAAAAUGAACGUGUGGAAACGGCAUCUCCAGUCCACCAAGUACCCAAACGAAAAAAGCAUGCAGAGAUCCAGGAGGCCCUCCCUUAGAUCAUGAACGUGUGCUGCUUGAGCUCACCAAAUCCAAGUCCCCCAGUCUGUGACUAAACAGGUCAAGAGUAUCUCACUUUCCUGGGGAAUCCUAAUACCCAGAACAUCUUCCCUGUUACAGGGCUAGACUAGUGGUCUUUUCUUCAACCAUUUAAAAAUGUAAACCCCAUUCUGAACUCAUGAACAGUACACAAUCUGGCAGGCCUGGUUUGCCCCACGGGCUGUGGGUUUACCAACCCCAGACUAGACUCUGUUCUGUGAAAGCAGGGUCCACAGUGCUCCAGCUGAGCCUGGUCUUGGGCCAGGGCUUUGUGCAGUAUGUGGCAUACAGUAAGUGCUCAAUAAAUGCUAGUGGGACUGAACUGCUGGUAGUCAUUAGUAACUUCAUUGCUUACCGGGAAAAAUAUCCUAUGUAGUGGAAUUCAACCAUACAAAAUCCUUCUAAAUGUGAAACGAUUAUUCACAACCAAGCUGUGUCGGCAUACUCUGGCCACUAUAAACCAUUCUGUUUACUUCUGGUGAAUAAACCGUAUUAUUGUCAGAUGUCACCUAAAUAGUGCCAUUGGCCUCCAACCACCAGACUCCCUUAAACGUUAGUGAGCUCACAGGCAUCUAGGGCACGUGCUGAAAAGUCCUUGGCCCGAGGCUGUGUUCUAAACAGGCACCAGGUAAUUGGGUGCAAGUGGCCUCUAGUGUUUCUAUAAACUAUCUGCAUUAUUUGAGGAAUCAAGAGGCUCCAAGCUCUCCUCAAUAACUGUCUGUAAUCACAGAACAGAAAAGAAUCACAACGAAUCUUAUCUGCCCAUAAACUGCCUAUCUUGUUAUGGAAAUCAGAGGCUCUGCUAUUCUCCACAACCAUUUGUUAUCACGGAAUACCAAAGAAUCAUCAUUUACAAGAAACCCCAGCAUCUGAAACUUCCACAGCAGCAGUGCCAGCCUUGGAAGCGGCCAUGGAAGUGGCUCAAAGUGCGGCCCUUUCUCCAUUCAUACCAGAGGGGGCCCCAGUAGCCCCUCAGCGACAAUCAAUUACUAGGAUGACUUUCUAAAAAUAUGCCUGUGUUCAGUCCUUUUCACCCCUGGCAGAAACAGACUGAAAUUAACUCUCUUCUGCAAGACCAGAGGGCGGAACGCCAUAGCUGCCAUCAGUGAGAACAGCAGAGAGCGCGGCUGGCCUGCUCCUGCAGGUGGGGUGCCCGCAUUCAGCUGCGCGGUCCCCGCGACUCUACCCUAAAUCCCGCAGCCAUGUGCACUGGCCCUCCCGGAGAGCUUUUUAACUUAGGUUAAACGAAUUUCAAUUUAAGUUUAAAAACCUCCCUUAAGCUGCCAUGAAUAUGCCUUCUCACCCACAGGUAACAGAACCUGGAGGGUAAUUCCAGCUAUGAACAGGUCGAGGUGGAUUUUUGGAGCACACGGACGGACACCUCUCUGCUCACAAGCCUCUCCCUCAUUGGGAAGUGGGUCCAGAGUCACUAAUGCACAGUGUUUCCAGACUAGCUCAUCCCGACCCCAGCUGUAUCUGUAUUUACCAUUUUUUACAAAGUCAGCUCCUUCCUGUCUGAUUGAGGUCUAGGAGUUUUGGCUUUAAGUUCAGAUGAUACAAUCAACUUUGUAGCCGCCAGUCUAUUAAAGCACAGUCUCACAUUAAUCCUACCUGCCACAAAGCUGACCACUAUGGUAAAAACAUAUUCCACAUAUUCACAAAGAAACCGCUAAAACAUUAGCCACAGAGAGGGGGUGCCAUGCAUGUCAGGGAUUUUAUGGUUCAAUAUUCCAUGCACUUGUGGGGGUAACUUUGAGUUCUGGGUCACCAAGGUUGGAGAACAGGGAAGGAACAUUCAGGAACAUUUUGUGGCAUGGAACAUAGGUUUUGCAUCUACCUGUUCCUUCCCCUUGUUCACAACACUGAAGAAGAAGGAGAUUCAGAACACAGAGGCAGCGUGUAUUCCUCAGUGGGAUCCACCUCUCUGUUCUCCUCUGCAAAGAAGUUUCGUUUCUCUGUUGUCGGGUCAGGGAAUGAGUAGCUUUUUGUUCUCUGCUUGACGAAGCUGUCAGGAAUACUCCCUGCCCCUCCCUCCCUCCUCCUUCCUCCUCGCCCUCCCACCUGGGGCGCUUGACAACAUAAGGAGAUUAUGCACACUUUGUAAAUUAUUUUAAGUUCAUCAAUACUGGAAACACUGUCUAGAUUAAGUUGUAACCAUCCUGAUGUAGGAACUAGCUCAUUAUCUCUUAAUCUCUCAGAGUUAAAAAUAAAAGAUUAGGAGGGGCGCCUGGGUGCCUCAGUCGGCUGAGCAUCUGAUUGUUGACUUCAGCUCAGGUCAUGACCUCACCGUUCAUGGGAUCAAGCCCUGUGUCCGGCUCUGCACUGAAAGCGUGGAGCCUGCCUGGGAUUCUCUCUCUGCUCCUCCCCCACGCACUGCCUUUUUCUCUCUCUCUCAAAAUGAAUUACAAAUAAAUAAAUAUAAAUAAAUAAAUACAU